UACGGAGGGUGCAAGCGUUAAUCGGAAUUACUGGGCGUAAAGCGUGCGCAGGCGGUUUGUUAAGUCCGCUGUGAAACCCCCGAGCUCAACUUGGGAAUUGCAGUGGAUACUGGCAAGCUGGAGUAUGGUAGAGGAAGGUGGAAUUCCCGGUGUAGCAGUGAAAUGCGUAGAGAUCGGGAGGAACACCAGUGGCGAAGGCGGCCUUCUGGACCAAUACUGACGCUCAUGCACGAAAGCGUGGGGAGCAAACAGG
This 253-nucleotide ribosomal RNA is filed under the name uncultured bacterium. Its description in RNAcentral is "partial 16S ribosomal RNA". It matches the Rfam family "Bacterial small subunit ribosomal RNA", at positions 524 to 776 of the family's 1533-position model. The record is from RNAcentral.